AUUGAACGCUGGCGGCAUGCUUUACACAUGCAAGUCGAACGGUAACAGGCCUUCGGGUGCUGACGAGUGGCGAACGGGUGAGUAAUGCAUCGGAACGUACCCAGAGGUGGGGGAUAACGCAGCGAAAGCUGUGCUAAUACCGCAUGUGAUCUGAGGAUGAAAGCGGGGGACCGAGCAGCAAUGUUUGGCCUCGCGCCUUUGGAGCGGCCGAUGUCGGAUUAGCUAGUUGGUGGGGUAAAGGCCUACCAAGGCGACGAUCCGUAGCUGGUCUGAGAGGACGACCGGCAACCGUGGGAUUGAGAAACGGCCCGACCCCUUAGGGAAGGCACAGGGGGGAAUUUUGGGCAAUGGGCGCAAGCCUGAUCCAGCAAUGCCGCGUGCGGGAAGAAGGCCUUCGGGUUGUAAACCGCUUUUGGCAGGAACGAAACGGUGUCCGCUAAUACCGGGCGCUAAUGACGGUACCUGCAGAAUAAGCACCGGCUAACUACGUG
RNAcentral lists this ribosomal RNA (491 nucleotides) under uncultured bacterium. Its description in RNAcentral is "partial 16S ribosomal RNA". It matches the Rfam family "Bacterial small subunit ribosomal RNA", at positions 29 to 507 of the family's 1533-position model. The record is from RNAcentral.